This 468-nucleotide ribosomal RNA is filed under the name uncultured bacterium. RNAcentral's name for it is "partial 16S ribosomal RNA". It matches the Rfam family "Bacterial small subunit ribosomal RNA", at positions 28 to 507 of the family's 1533-position model. The record is from RNAcentral.
GACGAACGCUGGCGGCGUGCUUAACACAUGCAAGUCGAACGGCAAGGCCCUGUUUUGGCUGGCUGCUCGAGUGGCGAACGGGUGAGUAACACGUGAAUAACCUGCCCUUGACUGUGGGAUAACUUCAGGAAACUGGGGCUAAUACCGGAUAGGAGCUCCUGCUGCAUGGUGGGGGUUGGAAAGUUUCGGCGGGUGGGGAUAGACGCGGGGCUUAUCAGCUUGUGGGUGGGGGAGUUGCUUACCCAGGCUUUGAUGGGUAGCCGGCCUGAGAGGGUGACCGGCGACCAGAGGCCUGAGGGAGGCAGCAGAGGGGUAUGGGGGGCAACGGUGGGAAAUAUUGCCCAGCGGGGGCGAGCCUGAUAAAGCGGCGCCGCGUGCGGGAUGAGGGUCUUCGGGUUAUAAACCGCUUUCGCCUGUGACGAAGCGUGGGUGACGGUAAUGGGUAAAGAAGCACCGGCUAACUACGUG